Molecule: long non-coding RNA, 1161 nt
Organism: Panicum virgatum (switchgrass)
Lineage: Eukaryota; Viridiplantae; Streptophyta; Magnoliopsida; Poales; Poaceae
Exons: 8
Source: RefSeq, a predicted model, not a curated record
GUCUUCGGCCCAGAAAACCUCAGGCUGGUGCUGCUCCGUCAUGUGCAGGGAGCUGCUCGCAGCAACCUGAGCUCGUGGGCUCAUAGGCCAAGCAUUGAGCUCAAAGAGGCUGUCUCAAGUAUGAUAUUCAGUGUUACUGCAAAAUUGUUGAUCAACUACGAUGCGUCCACGUCAUCAGCAGGAGAGCUGUGGAAACAUUAUGAUGCAUUCACCACCGGACUAAUGUCAUUUCCAGUGAACAUCCCUGGACAGGGUUUUAUAAAUGUCUAAAGGGACGCAAGAAUAUAAUGGAGGCUUUGAAACACAUGCUUGAUGAGAGGAAGGAGGCAGAAAGGCAAGAAACGAUGGAUUUCUUGGAUCUCGUGGUUGAUGAGUUAAAGGAGAAGCCUGUGCUAGACGAGAACUUUUGUUUGGAUGUAUUGUUUGGGCUGCUCUUUGCUAGUAUCCAUACGACAUCAACCGCGCUAACUGCAGCACUCAAGUUUCUGACAGACAACCCUAAAGCACUACAAGAACUAGCAGAGGAAAAUGAGAAUAUCAUCAAAGGAAGGACCGAUGCCAGUUCAGAAAUCACAUGGGAAGAAUACAAGUCCAUGAAAUUCACCUCUAAUGUUAUAUAUGAAUCCUAGCCAACAUUGCCCCGAUGCUAUUCAGGAAAGCAAACCAAGAUGUUCACAUGAAAGGCUACACUAUUCCAGAGGGAUGGACAGUAAUGAUUUGCCCCCUGGCAACUCAUCUGAAUCCAAUUACUUAUACAGACCCCAACAUAUUCAAUCCAUGGAGAUGGAAGGAUAUUUCCGAGCCUGUUGGAGGCUCCAAGGAUUUUCUUGUCUUUGGAUUGGGACUGAGGUCUUGUCUUGGUGCUGACUUUGCAAAGCUUCAGAUUGCGACAUUCCUCCACUGCUUAGUUAUUAACUAUAGGUGGGAAGUGGUCAAUGGAGGGGACAUGGUGCUUUCUCCUGUACUUUCAUUUCCUAAUGGCUUUCAUGUGAAACUUAUAAAAAAAACUUGAAUUUUUUAUGAGCCACUACAAAUAAGUCCUGAGCAAAGUGAAACUUUCCAAUUAUGUAAACAAGAGAGAAUUCGUGUAAGUUUGAUGAUUGUCUCGAGCCUUAGCUCGAUGUUGGAUUAUAUAUAGAAUAAGAUUUGGAGUCUUCUAGA